UACAGAGGUGGCAAGCGUUGUUCGGAAUUACUGGGCGUAAAGGGCGCGUAGGCGGUCUUGCAAGUCCCGUGUGAAAUCCCCCGGCUCAACUGGGGAAUGGCACGGGAAACUGCUUGGCUUGAGUUCGGGAGAGGGAAGCGGAAUUCCGGGUGUAGCGGUGAAAUGCGUAGAUAUCCGGAGGAACACCGGUGGCGAAGGCGGCUUCCUGGACCGACACUGACGCUAAGGCGCGAAAGCUAGGGGAGCAAACGGG
This 253-nucleotide ribosomal RNA is filed under the name uncultured bacterium. Its description in RNAcentral is "partial 16S ribosomal RNA". It matches the Rfam family "Bacterial small subunit ribosomal RNA", at positions 524 to 776 of the family's 1533-position model. The record is from RNAcentral.